UACGGAGGGGGCGAGCGUUGUUCGGAAUUAUUGGGCGUAAAGAGCACGUAGGCGGCGCGGUAAGUCCUGUGUGAAAGCCCUCGGCUCAACCGAGGACGUGCAUUGGAAACUGCCGUGCUUGAGUACGGGAGAGGAGAGUGGAAUUCCCGGUGUAGCGGUGAAAUGCGUAGAUAUCGGGAAGAACACCGGUGGCGAAAGCGGCUCUCUGGACCGUCACUGACGCUGAGGUGCGAAAGCUGGGGGAGCGAACGGG
This 253-nucleotide unclassified non-coding RNA is filed under the name uncultured bacterium. RNAcentral's name for it is "contains 16S-23S intergenic spacer region". It matches the Rfam family "Bacterial small subunit ribosomal RNA", at positions 524 to 776 of the family's 1533-position model. The record is from RNAcentral.